This 261-nucleotide ribosomal RNA is filed under the name uncultured archaeon. RNAcentral describes it as "partial 16S ribosomal RNA". It matches the Rfam family "Archaeal small subunit ribosomal RNA", at positions 748 to 1009 of the family's 1478-position model. The record is from RNAcentral.
CAGCCGUAAACUAUGCGCGUUAGGUGUAUCGGUGACCACGAGUCACCGGGGUGCCGAAGGGAAACCGUGAAACGUGCCGCCUGGGAAGUACGGUCGCAAGGCUGAAACUUAAAGGAAUUGGCGGGGGAGCACCACAACAGGUGGAGCCUGCGGUUUAAUUGGACUCAACGCCGGGAAGCUCACCGGAUAGGACAGCAGAAUGAUUGCCGGGCUGAAGACCCUGCAUGACUAGCUGAGAGGAGGUGCAUGGCGUAGACGUCU